RNAcentral lists this ribosomal RNA (253 nucleotides) under uncultured bacterium. RNAcentral describes it as "partial 16S ribosomal RNA". It matches the Rfam family "Bacterial small subunit ribosomal RNA", at positions 524 to 776 of the family's 1533-position model. The record is from RNAcentral.
UACGGAGGGUGCAAACGUUGCUCGGAAUCAUUGGGCGUAAAGCGCACGUAGGCGGCCCAGCAAGUCGGGUGUGAAAGCCCUCGGCUUAACCGAGGAAGUGCAUUCGAAACUACUGAGCUUGAAUACUGGAGAGGAUCGCGGAAUUCCCGGUGUAGAGGUGAAAUUCGUAGAUAUCGGGAGGAACACCAGUGGCGAAGGCGGCAUCCUGGACCAUUACUGACACUGAAACGCGAAAGCCAGGGGAGCAAACGGG